AGCCCUGGGAGAGAGGACCAAAGAGAAGACAGGAAAGGCUUCUGUUUGAUUGAUACUGCUGUGGGCUGGAUGUUGGUGCCUUUUGGACCACAGAAAUCAGUGAAGGAGAGGAAUUGAAUGCCUAGAAAUUCUAAGGAUUUGAAGUGACCACUCAGAUUCUGAUCCUCAAGGAUAGUUCUUCUAUCAAGCUGUGACCUCUACCUUUGAGGAAGAAGACAUUGCAAGAGUAAGAAGCCAUGUAAAAUGGAGUCUUGUGCACCCCUAACAUUUGUUGUGCCCAAUGCAAGAGGACAAGUGGAG
This is a long non-coding RNA of Artibeus jamaicensis (Jamaican fruit-eating bat), 300 nucleotides long. RefSeq lists it as uncharacterized. The transcript has 4 exons. The record is from RefSeq and is a predicted model, not a curated record. NCBI's taxonomy places the organism in Eukaryota, Metazoa, Chordata, Mammalia, Chiroptera, Phyllostomidae.